AUGGCCGCUCAGAGCCUCCUCUUUGCCGCCGCCGCGCCUCUCUUCCAGGCUCCUGCCUCUGCCCGCCCUUUCCAGUCGCUCCGAAUUGUCUGCACCCCAGAAGGCGCCACCGCCGCCGCCAGGGCGCUCGUCGUCGCCGACGCCACCAAGAAGGCAGUCGCGGUGCUCAAGGGCACCUCGCAGGUCGAGGGCGUCGUCACGCUCACCCAGGAAGACGACGGUCCUACGACGGUGAACGUUCGUAUCACUGGACUUGCUCCUGGACUUCAUGGCUUCCACCUCCAUGAGUUUGGUGACACGACUAAUGGAUGCAUAUCAACAGGUCCACAUUUUAACCCAAACGGCCUGACACAUGGUGCACCAGAAGAUGAAGUCCGUCAUGCGGGUGACCUGGGAAACAUUGUUGCCAAUGCUGAAGGUGUGGCGGAGACAACCAUUGUCGAUAGCCAGAUUCCUUUGACUGGCCCUAAUGCAGUUGUUGGGAGAGCGUUUGUUGUUCAUGAGCUUGAAGAUGACUUGGGAAAAGGUGGGCAUGAGCUCAGCCUCAGUACUGGAAAUGCUGGUGGAAGACUUGCAUGUGGUGUUGUUGGCCUGACCCCGUUGUAG
RNAcentral lists this ribosomal RNA (606 nucleotides) under Triticum aestivum (bread wheat). Its description in RNAcentral is "partial small subunit ribosomal RNA". The record is from RNAcentral. Lineage: Eukaryota; Viridiplantae; Streptophyta; Magnoliopsida; Poales; Poaceae.